Molecule: small nucleolar RNA, 136 nt
Organism: Acomys russatus (golden spiny mouse)
Lineage: Eukaryota; Metazoa; Chordata; Mammalia; Rodentia; Muridae
Product: small nucleolar RNA ACA64
Exons: 1
Source: RefSeq, a predicted model, not a curated record
GUUCAUUGAAAAAUACCCCUGGCAUUGGUCUUGGUGGUUAUGUGGAGGAUGAGAUUUGCUACUCAGAACCUCUAAGGGCUUAGGUUCACCACUUGCGUCGCUAGUGUGGGAGGACAAAUCCCAGGCUUUGACAGCC